UCCGGGAUCGUCUAAUGGUAGGACAGCAGCCUUUGAAGCUGUUUAUCUACGUUCGAAUCGUAGUCCCGGAG
This 71-nucleotide transfer RNA is filed under the name Candidatus Moranbacteria bacterium CG_4_8_14_3_um_filter_43_15. Its description in RNAcentral is "tRNA-Gln". It matches the Rfam family "tRNA". From Rfam's summary of the family: Transfer RNA (tRNA) molecules are approximately 80 nucleotides in length. Their secondary structure includes four short double-helical elements and three loops (D, anti-codon, and T loops). Further hydrogen bonds mediate the characteristic L-shaped molecular structure. tRNAs have two regions of fundamental functional importance: the anti-codon, which is responsible for specific mRNA codon recognition, and the 3' end, to which the tRNAs corresponding amino acid is attached (by aminoacyl-tRNA synthetases). tRNAs cope with the degeneracy of the genetic code in two manners: having more than one tRNA (with a specific anti-codon) for a particular amino acid; and 'wobble' base-pairing, i.e. permitting non-standard base-pairing at the 3rd anti-codon position. Lineage: Bacteria; Candidatus Moraniibacteriota. The record is from RNAcentral. RNAcentral also lists the same sequence under 2 other names.